Non-coding RNA from Pelobates cultripes (western spadefoot toad), 288 nucleotides. The record is from the annotation of a GenBank genome assembly. Lineage: Eukaryota; Metazoa; Chordata; Amphibia; Anura; Pelobatidae.
GGCGUGACAAUGACAUUGUUUUUCACAAGUUAUAAACAUCUGUUUUUAGUUAUAAUUCGAUGUUACAUAAUGUAUGCAUAUUGGAUAAAACCCAGAUGAUUACAAAUACCGAAAUCUUGGACAAUUAACAAGGUCAUUCCAGAAUCCUUAUCAUGUCAUGUCAUGUAAAUAACAAAAUCAUGUUCCAAUAACAUCUCCCGUAAAUAGAUAAGUCAUUGUGACAUGAGAUACAAUUCCAAAUUUAUUCUUGAUUCAAAUUAACCCUUACAUGAACAGUUAGGAUAUAGA